GCGUUGCUCGGAAUCACUGGGCGUAAAGCGCACGUAGGCGGACUCUUAAGUCAGGGGUGAAAUCCUGGAGCUCAACUCCAGAACUGCCUUUGAUACUGGGAGCCUUGAGUUCGGGAGAGGUGAGUGGAACUGCGAGUGUAGAGGUGAAAUUCGUAGAUAUUCGCAAGAACACCAGUGGCGAAGGCGGCUCACUGGCCCGAUACUGACGCUGAGGUGCGAAAGCGUGGGGAGCAAACAGG
This 239-nucleotide ribosomal RNA is filed under the name uncultured bacterium. RNAcentral's name for it is "partial 16S ribosomal RNA". It matches the Rfam family "Bacterial small subunit ribosomal RNA", at positions 538 to 776 of the family's 1533-position model. The record is from RNAcentral.